This 76-nucleotide transfer RNA is filed under the name Elusimicrobia bacterium GWA2_62_23. Its description in RNAcentral is "tRNA-Met". It matches the Rfam family "tRNA". Rfam says of the family: Transfer RNA (tRNA) molecules are approximately 80 nucleotides in length. The record is from RNAcentral. RNAcentral also lists the same sequence under 1 other name. Lineage: Bacteria; Pseudomonadati; Elusimicrobiota.
GGCACCGUAGCUCAGGGGUUAGAGCGGGCGUUUCAUAAGCGCUAGGUCGGAGGUUCGAGACCUCCCGGUGCCACUA